AGCAAGGUUAACCGAAUAGGGGAGCCGGAGGGAAACCGAGUCUUAAUUGGGCGUUAAGUUGCAGGGUAUAGACCCGAAACCCGGUGAUCUAGCCAUGGGCAGGUUGAAGGUUGGGUAACACUAACUGGAGGACCGAACCGACUAAUGUUGAAAAAUUAGCGGAUGACCUGUGGCUGGGGGUGAAAGGCCAAUCAAACCGGGAGAUAGCUGGUUCUCCCCGAAAGCUAUUUAGGUAGCGCCUCGUGAAUUCAUCUCCGGGGGUAGAGCACUGUUUCGGCUAGGGGGCCAUCCCGGCUUACCAACCCGAUGCAAACUGCGAAUACCGGAGAAUGUUAUCACGGGAGACACACGGCGGGUGCUAACGUCCGUCGUGAAGAGGGAAACAACCCAGACCGCCAGCUAAGGUCCCAAAGUCAUGGUUAAGUGGGAAACGAUGUGGGAAGGCCCAGACAGCCAGGAUGUUGGCUUAGAAGCAGCCAUCAUUUAAAGAAAGCGUAAUAGCUCACUGGUCGAGUCGGCCUGCGCGGAAGAUGUAACGGGGCUAAACCAUGCACCGAAGCUGCGGCAGCGACACUCAGGUGUUGUUGGGUAGGGGAGCGUUCUGUAAGCCUGCGAAGGUGGCCUGUGAGGGUUGCUGGAGGUAUCAGAAGUGCGAAUGCUGACAUAAGUAACGAUAAAGCGGGUGAAAAGCCCGCUCGCCGGAAGACCAAGGGUUCCUGUCCAACGUUAAUCGGGGCAGGGUGAGUCGACCCCUAAGGCGAGGCCGAAAGGCGUAGUCGAUGGGAAACGGGUUAAUAUUCCCGUACUUGGUGUUACUGCGAAGGGGGGACGGAGAAGGCUAUGUUGGCCGGGCGACGGUUGUCCCGGUUUAAGCGUGUAGGUGUGUGUUCCAGGUAAAUCCGGUU
Molecule: ribosomal RNA, 905 nt
Filed under: Salmonella enterica subsp. enterica serovar Agona
Lineage: Bacteria; Pseudomonadati; Pseudomonadota; Gammaproteobacteria; Enterobacterales; Enterobacteriaceae
Description: partial 23S ribosomal RNA
Rfam family: Bacterial large subunit ribosomal RNA
Source: RNAcentral